Molecule: ribosomal RNA, 519 nt
Filed under: uncultured bacterium
Lineage: Bacteria
Description: bacterial LSU rRNA
Rfam family: Bacterial large subunit ribosomal RNA
Source: RNAcentral
AGUGCAUGUGGUGGAUGCCUUGGCGAUUACAGGCGACGAAGGACGUACAAGCCUGCGAAAAGCUCUGGGGAGCUGGCAAUGAAGCUUUGAUCCAGAGAUAUCCGAAUGGGGAAACCCACUCCGCAAGGAGUAUCCCACGCUGAAUACAUAGGCGUGCGGAAGCGAACCCGGCGAACUGAAACAUCUAAGUAGCCGGAGGAAAAGAAAUCAACCGAGAUUCCCAAAGUAGUGGCGAGCGAAAUGGGAGCAGCCUGCAAGUGAUAGCGAUUGAGUUAGCGGAAGUCUCUGGAAAGUGGCGCCGUAGUGGGUGAAAGCCCCGUACGCGAAAACCCGAUCGUGGUACUAAGUUUGCGACAAGUAGGGCGGGGCACGAGAAAUCCUGUCUGAACAUGGGGGGCCCAUCCUCCAAGGCUAAAUACUCGUAAUCGACCGAUAGUGCACCAGUACCGUGAGGGGAAAGGCGAAAAGAACCCCGGAGGGGAGUGAAAUAGAUCCUGAAACCGCAUGCAUACAAACAGU